Long non-coding RNA from Podarcis raffonei (Aeolian wall lizard), 2112 nucleotides. RefSeq lists it as uncharacterized. Lineage: Eukaryota; Metazoa; Chordata; Lepidosauria; Squamata; Lacertidae. The transcript is spliced from 2 exons. The record is from RefSeq and is a predicted model, not a curated record.
GUCUGGCAAACGGGCGGCCGAGGGAGGGCGCGCUGAGGUGGUGGCUUCGCCUGUCCCUUACAGCGUUUGCGGGAAACGGCCUUGAGAGAGCGCCCUUCCCUCCGUCGCCUCUCCCACCCCACGAGAUUUCAGGAUGUGACGGCAAGCACACGCUCAACAGGCUCUGUUUUCUGCGGCACAUGCAGCCGUCGCUGGCAGCGCCACUGUUCCCUCGCUGCUCACUUGGUUCGGUUGUGAGGGGAUGGCAGAGGGAUUCAAAGAAUGAAAGAAACCAGUACCUUGAUUAUAUAAGUUGCAGGUGAAUGCGCUCGCAAAGUUGCUUGCCUAUAAGCAAAUACUUACAGAGCAUGAAGUGUGCUCUCACUGUUUUCAGAUGUUGUAGUAGACAUUAUCUUAGAAGAGGCUUCCCUGAGUUAGGAAAUGUGCUUCUUUUAAGCUAGUGCUUGCCACCUGCAAUUUUUAAAAGUACAGUGGUACCUCAGGUUACGUACCGUUCAGGUUACAGACUCCGCUAAUCCAGACAUAGUGUUUCAGGUUAAGAACUUUGCUUCAGGAUGAGAACAGAAAUCGUGCUCCGGUGGUGCGGCAGCAGCAGGAGGCCCCAUUAGCUAAAGUGGUGCUUCAGGCUAAGAACAGUUUCAGGUUAAGUACGGACCUCCGGAACAAUUUAAGUAUUUAACUUGAGGUACCACUGUACGUAUAAGACACAUAGAUAAUUUCUACUAUUUAGCAACAACAGAAGAUUGAAAUGUGCUGUUUUUGCACAAAAUUAUUUUUGAUCACAAUUUGAUUUAGUUUUUGAUUCCUGACAAGACAGACAUAAAAGGGAAACUAUGGGAACCGAUGUGUGAUUAGUGGGGCUUUCUUUCAGAGAUUAUUUGUAGCAGUGAAAGCCCUAAAAUCUAGAUUUCAAACUUUUUGACCGUAGCUAGCCUUAACAGCACACAAGCCACUGCAUGUUUAGUAAGCAAUAACUUGAACAAAGGCUUGAAUCCUGAAGUCAUUCGCUAGAGAGCAAGGCCUGUUGAAGACAGUGAGGCUUCUGAGUGACUAAACAUGCAUAUGAUUGCAUAUACCCUGGAAGUGGACCAUUUAUACUUGGAAUGGUACAAAAGGACAAAAUAAAAUCUGAGUAAAAUAGCUUUUAAGAAACUGGUUUUGGUGUUUUAGUUUGAUUUUUUUGUUUUGUUUGAUAUCACAAGUGCUCAGGGUUGGGUAUAGCAAUAGUAAAUUCAGAAUAAUAAAGGUGAUGGUGUGUGCAAGUGGUAUGAAGCUGGGGCUCUGCUAUUGGUUGAUGAACACUUGUGUAACUUUACCCUCUGCUUAAUUUUCUUGUUUCUAGCAUGUAUCUGUUAGAAAUGCUUUGUGGCCGAGUUGGGAUUUUAACUUGCAUCUAAUGGUCCUAAUCCAAAACUCCUACAUUAUAAUACUGAGCAAAGAUGAAAUCUGAACAAUGCAUAAUAAAUUUGUGGAAUCUGGUGCCACAAUAGAUUAUGAUGACCUAUAGCAAGAGUAGCCAAUGUGGUUCCCCCCAGAAGUUUUUGGACUACAAUACCCACCAGCCCCAGCCAGCAUAACCAAUGGGGAGGGAUGAUGGGAGUUGUAGUCUAACAUCUGGAAGACACCACAUUGGCUAUCCCUGGCCUAUAGUUUAGGUGGCUUUAAAAGGGGAUUAGACAAAUCCUUGGAGGAGUCUGCUGCAAUCAUGUUCUCAUGUACUUGGCGGUAAGUCCCACUGAACUCAAUGGACGGAGCUUCCUUCUGAGCAGACAUACAGAGGAUUGCACUAUAUGACUUAUCGUUGGCGAUAGAUCAGGAGAGCUGUUGUCUACUUCCGGGUUUAGAAGAGGCAUACAUUUGAAGCACAAUCUGUUUUCCGACAAGGAAAUUCAAGUAACUUCAAGUAAUCCAGCUUUUGUUUCCCUGCCUUCAUUUAUUCAAAGUAUUUGCUUGGAUUCCUUUUCCACCCCACCCACUAUAUAUUCCCACCCUGUUAAGCAUUUCUGGUAAAGCCAGGACCAAAAGAAACUGAGCUGUAUGUGGCUGGCAUAAUAGACCAAAGAGUUUCCCCAUUCCAAGUUUAGUAAGCUAUAUAAAGUAUGCAUACAUACA